ACAUUAAAAGCGGUGACUGCUGGUUAAGAACCGAGUACCUGUUGUGUGUCCUUGUUGAAAGUUCACUAUGCUGCAACCCACGUUAAUACAACACAGAACAAUUCAGCAACACAUAAAGUUACAACAUGGUGUCAGAAGUUCGAUCUCUCAUGUGAACGAAGACUACAGCCGGGCGACGCAAGUAAGCUAGCUGAAGAUUAGCACAUGGCGAAAGCUGCCGACAACAUGGAGCAAUUCAAGUCACCAUCGCCGCUGCUGCUCUCCGGCAAUUAGUCUGAGACCUGGCGCAGAUGGGAACAAAGAUUCCAGCUGUACAUGACCGCAUCAGUGUCCAGUCAUGCAGAUAAGUCGAUCCUUGGAGGACAAGCACGUGAAGAGCUGCAGCUGGUGAAGCGAGUUGGGACAAUAGCAACAACAAAGUCGCCACAGCUGACCAAACCAUCAGCUACUAAAGAAGAGCUCAUAGAGGAGUACGCAGAGGUCUUCACGGGUUUGGGCCAAAAAGCAGACGACGCAAAGAUCAAAGCCAUCAGUGACAUACCAACUCCAGACGACAAAAAGUAUUCAACGUCUGCUUGGAAUGACAGAGUUCUUGGCACAGUACAUUCAAAAUGAAGCAUCGCUCUCUGCACCUUUGAGGACACAAUCUAGCAGUGACAACCACACCACACAGCAGCGUUAAGCACACUCAAGACAGCACUCACUCAAGCUCCAGUUCUGAGAUUCUACGACCAAAAGAAACCUUUGAGCAAACUCUUCAAAAGAUGGACUGGGUGCGUGCCUGCUACAAGAAGGACAGCCUGUAUGCCAUGAGUCACGAGCUCUCACAGACACGGAAAAGAGAUAAGCACAAAUAGACAAAGAGUUGCUAGUCAUUGUGUUUGCCACCAAAAGAUUGCAGUAUGUCUAUGGAAGACUAGUGACUGUGCAGUCUGAUCAUAAGACUCUAGAAGCAAUCAUGUUCAAACCGCUUUCCAAAGCACCAGCGAGGUUGCAAGGAAUGCCGUUACAGCUACAGAGGCAUCAACUUACUGUUACAUACACACCAG
RNAcentral lists this long non-coding RNA (1049 nucleotides) under Oryzias javanicus (javanese ricefish). Its description in RNAcentral is "lncRNA (ENSOJAG00000008916.1)". Lineage: Eukaryota; Metazoa; Chordata; Actinopteri; Beloniformes; Adrianichthyidae. The record is from RNAcentral.